Molecule: ribosomal RNA, 464 nt
Filed under: uncultured bacterium
Lineage: Bacteria
Description: partial 16S ribosomal RNA
Rfam family: Bacterial small subunit ribosomal RNA
Source: RNAcentral
ACGAACGCUGGCGGCGUGCUUAACACAUGCAAGUCGUACGGUAAGGCCCUUUCGGGGGUACACGAGUGGCGAACGGGUGAGUAACACGUGAGUAACCUGCCCACAACUUUGGGAUAACGCUAGGAAACUGGUGCUAAUACUGGAUAUGUGCUCCUGCUGCAUGGUGGGGGGUGGAAAGCUCCGGCGGUUGUGGAUGGACUCGCGGCCUAUCAGGUUGUUGGUGGGGUAGUGGCCUACCAAGGCGGCGACGGGUAGCCGGCCUGAGAGGGUGACCGGCCACAUUGGGACUGAGAUACGGCCCAGACUCCUACGGGGGGCAGCAGUGGGGAAUAUUGCACAAUGGGCGCAAGCCUGAUGCAGCAACGCCGCGUGCGGGAUGACGGCCUUCGGGUUGUAAACCGCUUUCAGCAGGGACGAAGCUUUUUGUGACGGUACCUGCAGAAGAAGCACCGGCUAACUACGUG